AGAGUUUGAUCCUGGCUCAGAUUGAACGCUGGCGGCAUGCCUUACACAUGCAAGUCGAACGGUAACAGGUUAAGCUGACGAGUGGCGAACGGGUGAGUAAUACAUCGGAACGUGCCCAGUAGUGGGGGAUAGCCCGGCGAAAGCCGGAUUAAUACCGCAUACGACCUAAGGGUGAAAGGGGGGGAUCGCAAGACCUCUCGCUAUUGGAGCGGCCGAUGUCAGAUUAGCUAGUUGGUGGGGUAAAAGCUCACCAAGGCGACGAUCUGUAGCUGGUCUGAGAGGACGACCAGCCACACUGGGACUGAGACACGGCCCAGACUCCUACGGGAGGCAGCAGUGGGGAAUUUUGGACAAUGGGCGCAAGCCUGAUCCAGCCAUGCCGCGUGCGGGAAGAAGGCCUUCGGGUUGUAAACCGCUUUUGUCAGGGAAGAAAUCCUUUGGGUUAAUACCUCGGGGGGAUGACGGUACCUGAAGAAUAAGCACCGGCUAACUACGUGCCAGCAGCCGCGGUAAUACGUAGGGUGCAAGCGUUAAUCGGAAUUACUGGGCGUAAAGCGUGCGCAGGCGGUUCUAUAAGACAGAUGUGAAAUCCCCGGGCUCAACCUGGGAACUGCAUUUGUGACUGUAGAGCUGGAGUGCGGCAG
RNAcentral lists this ribosomal RNA (644 nucleotides) under uncultured bacterium. Its description in RNAcentral is "bacterial SSU rRNA". It matches the Rfam family "Bacterial small subunit ribosomal RNA", at positions 8 to 654 of the family's 1533-position model. The record is from RNAcentral.